GCCGAGAACACCGAAACCCUGGAUGUUUAACAGCUUGUUUGUGUUUGCCCAGGAAACUCGUUGGGGAUCUAAGAUGUAUUCCCACUGAGGUUGACAAUUGAACUCGGGAGAAAAGCCAGUCGGCCUGAAGAAGCAUGUAGGAUCUACCUUGACUCGUGCAAAAGAGCUGAGUGCUGUGAGAAAGCAUUCCGACACUUUGCAUAUGACUUUGAGGAGUCUGGAGCCAUUUAAGACUGUUCCUUCAACAUGAACCCCAGUUGGGGCCCUAGAUGGUUUCCGUCUUUGCAGGAGGGGAAAGAGGCGUGGGCACGAAGCAACCUCCCUUCUUGCUGCUGAUCCUUAGGGCGAGUCGUGCGUUAAAGGACACUAGUGGCAUGCCUGGCCCCUGCUAACCGCUUGACACGAGUGAUCUCGUUUCAUCUACAGAACAGGUUGUAAGGUAAGCAUUCUCCUUACUUCAAAGCAAGACAUUUCGAGGCUUUAAAGGGGGUAAAGUGACUUGCUCAAGGUCACACAGCUAGUACGGGGCAGAUCUGAGAUUUAAAUCUGGGAAAUCAUUUGAAUGUCUUAGUUUGUAACCGUUACACCAUAGGUAAGGACAGUUUAAUGGCCAAGGGAUACCUGAAUCGUUUCUUGUGAGACACCUGCUUCCAGGGGAAAGUGGGGAGCAGAUUUAAGUGGUUUUCUGAUUGUCCUUGAGGAACAUGAUGGUCCAACUGUCAAGAGUGGUUGAAAUAUAAAUACAGUUAUGUGUUUUGUGUCGUCUCUGACCCCUGGAAGAUUCUGGG
RNAcentral lists this long non-coding RNA (788 nucleotides) under Felis catus (domestic cat). RNAcentral describes it as "lncRNA (ENSFCAG00000050827.1)". The record is from RNAcentral. Lineage: Eukaryota; Metazoa; Chordata; Mammalia; Carnivora; Felidae.